Homarus americanus (American lobster) is the source of this 1390-nucleotide long non-coding RNA. RefSeq lists it as uncharacterized. The transcript is spliced from 2 exons. Lineage: Eukaryota; Metazoa; Arthropoda; Malacostraca; Decapoda; Nephropidae. The record is from RefSeq and is a predicted model, not a curated record.
GUGACCGUGGUGAGCUGUGUCGCCCUCAGCCCGUGUCCGUAAGUACAGAUGACAAAGUGUAGUACCUGUCAAUCCUCCAUGUAACGGACAGUGAACCCUCCAUGUAACGGACAGUGAACCCUCCAUAUAACGGACUGAAUCCUCCAUAUAACGGACAGUGAACCCUCCAUGUAACGGACUGAAUCCUCCAUAUAACGGACAGUGAACCCUUUAUAUAACGGAGUGAACCCUUUAUAUAACGGACUGACCCUCCAUAUAACGGACAGUGAACCCUCUAUAACGGACAGGAAAACCUGCAUAUAAUGAACUCUGUAUAAUCUGUGCUGGUGGAGGUUACACAGCUAACGGACACCUCGAUAUAACGGACAACUUUUCACCUCUACUUUCUUAGGUUGAGGUUUCACAUCCUGUCAUGGCCGCACCGAACUGUCCCCUGUCAUGGCCACAUUAAACUGUUCCCUGUCAUGGCCGCACCGAACUGUCCCCUGUCAUGGCCACAUUAAACUGUUCCCUGUCAUGGCCGCACCGAACUGCCCCCUGUCAUGGCCACAUUAAACUGCCCCCUGUCAUGGCCACAUUAAACUGCCCCCUGUCAUGGCCACGUCUGUUUUUGCCAUGGCCACAUCUAUAUGUCCCGUCGUGGCCACGUCUGUUUCCUGUCAUGGCCAUGUCUAGUAUCAUGGUCACAUAACUGUUUCCUGUCAUGGCCACAUCUGUUUCCUGUAAUGGCCAUGUCUAGUAUCAUGGUCACAUGUAACUGUUUCAUGUCAUGGCCACAUCUGUUUCCUGUCAUGGCCAUGUCUAGUAUCAUGGUCACAUGUAACUGUUUCCUGUCAUGGCCAUGUCUAGUAUCAUGGUCACAUAACUGUUUCCUGUCAUGGCCAUGUCGGUUUCUAAUCACGGUCAGGUGUGGACGAACGCUGACAACGUAAGUACAUUUUAGAGGUAAAUCAAACACGUAUUAGACAGAACUGAACUGGGAGCCGCCGUUCCUCCCACUCUGCCUCAGUCAACACCAGUCCCGUCCACUAGUCCACACUGUAACACUUGCAUCUCACUAUUUGUGUUGUGUACUGCUGUUUAUUCGAGUGUUUUUCGGAUUUUAUCGUCGCCAACACCUACAGCAACAAGUACCUGUGUAGUACCUCAUGACACGAGUGAGUCCUGCCUGAAGAGAACCUGUAUCUGUAUCUGUAGGGAAAGAGAGAGAGAGAGAGGUUGGUCAAAGGGCCAUUACACCACCAUCGCCGUCCCGGACUCCUGCCCCAUUUCGCCUGUGUCAACUAAAUGGGGUCAAAGAACAGUACCCCGAGAGUGAUACAAGAAUCGUUACAAAGGGAUACUAGACCGCCUGAACCACCACCUCCAACAUUACCACCACCUCCAACAU